CCCUAAAUUUGAACCCAGAUCCUCCUCUGUUAGGAGUGGACGCUGAACUAUUAAUUUUUUAGGUUAGUGGCCUUGUAGGACAAUACAAUCCUUGGCAGAAAUUUUCUUUCAGAUACCGGUUUGGUUGCACACCUGUCUGAUAAUAUCCAAAUUACGGUGAAAGCAAGCUUGCAUGUGAAAUACUGUAUAUUGUAGCCAAAAACAUCUUUUAAAAUAUUGAAUUUUCGGAAUGGUGUUUCUUCUAAGUUUGGAGAAUGUACAUAAUAGAAUUUAGAUGGCUCAUGGUUGAUCUUUCACCAAUAAGAUUAUGGAAAUAGAAGAUGAUUCGCCAAAAAAGUAAAACAUUCAACAGUGGCGAAUCCUGGAAUUCGAGAUUGUCCCAGGUCAAAUCUACCGAUCCAUCAAGAAGUGCGAGAUCAAUGUCAUCCAUCGUCACCAGAACACGAUGUGUAUUAAAUCGCCGGAUCACAAUGUACUACAGUAUUAAUAACCGGAUAUAUGUGGUUUUCUGCAAAUAAUCGCGCACCGAUAUUCAUUAGGUUUUAAACCACUACAUUGGAAAUUGUUAAAUUAUGUUUCUUGUAUAACAAAAAGUAAUCCUUGAACGAUAUUACAUACGUAUAUAUAAUU
Long non-coding RNA from Anneissia japonica, 630 nucleotides. RefSeq lists it as uncharacterized. The record is from RefSeq and is a predicted model, not a curated record. The transcript has 3 exons. Lineage: Eukaryota; Metazoa; Echinodermata; Crinoidea; Comatulida; Comatulidae.